UGGGGUGUAGCCAAGCGGUAAGGCACUGGAUUUUGAUUCCAGCAUGCACAGGUUCGAAUCCUGUCACCCCAGCCA
Molecule: transfer RNA, 75 nt
Filed under: bacterium
Lineage: Bacteria
Also listed under: 5 other names
Description: tRNA-Gln
Rfam family: tRNA
About the family: Transfer RNA (tRNA) molecules are approximately 80 nucleotides in length.
Source: RNAcentral